GGUUAGUUGGAGCUGGAUGUCGGAAAUUAUUUGAGAUUUGCUUUUGGAUUGUGUUUUGAUUUGUUUCUGAUAAAAUGUCCUUACAAUUUAUGGAGAAUCUGAUGUGGUGUGUGUUGGUUAUGGAAAAUUUACUGUAACUGCUGCUGUUCUAGGUUUCUUCAUCUCAUGACAGAUCAAUUUCUGAAGGGAUUUGGUUUUGAUUGCUUUCGAGUUUUGGUUUUUUGUAGG
Molecule: unclassified non-coding RNA, 228 nt
Filed under: Hevea brasiliensis (rubber tree)
Lineage: Eukaryota; Viridiplantae; Streptophyta; Magnoliopsida; Malpighiales; Euphorbiaceae
Source: RNAcentral